UACAGAGGUCUCAAGCGUUGUUCGGAUUCAUUGGGCGUAAAGGGUGCGUAGGCGGCGCGGUAAGUCGGAUGUGAAAUCUCGGAGCUUAACUUCGAAACUGCAUUCGAUACUGCCGUGCUUGAGGACUGGAGAGGAGACUGGAAUUUACGGUGUAGCGGUGAAAUGCGUAGAUAUCGUAAGGAAGACCAGUGGCGAAGGCGGGUCUCUGGACAGUACCUGACGCUGAGGCACGAAGGUCAGGGGAGCAAACGGG
This 253-nucleotide ribosomal RNA is filed under the name uncultured bacterium. RNAcentral describes it as "partial 16S ribosomal RNA". It matches the Rfam family "Bacterial small subunit ribosomal RNA", at positions 524 to 776 of the family's 1533-position model. The record is from RNAcentral.